CGCCUCUUGAUAAUAAAUACGAGAGGUUGGGCCUGCCCGGUGAAUAACUAUUUAAACGGCCGCAGUGGAUAACUGUGCUAAGGUAGCGUAAUAAAUUGUCUCUUAAUUGGAGAAGGGUAUGAAUGGUUUGACGUGGUAGUUUCUGUCUCAAUGGUAAUAUUAUGAAGUUUUCUUUUGAGUUAAAAGUCUCAAAUUUAGAUAAAAGACGAGAAGACCCUGUCGAGCUUAAUAAAAUUGUAAAGAGUUUUUAUAUAAUAAAUUUAACUGGGGCAGUUGAGAACCAAUAAAUAGUUCUUUGUUAUUUAAAGAUCCGGUUUUACCGAACAUAAGAAAAAGCUACCGCAGGGAUAACAGCGUUAUCCUCUCUGAGAGAACUAAUUGAAGAGGGGGUUUGCGACCUCGAUGUUGGAUUAAAGUUUCUUUUUGGUGCAGCAGCUAAAAUAGUAGGACUGUUCGUCCUUUAAAACUUU
RNAcentral lists this ribosomal RNA (470 nucleotides) under Ensis ensis. Its description in RNAcentral is "partial 16S ribosomal RNA". It matches the Rfam family "Bacterial large subunit ribosomal RNA", at positions 1817 to 2597 of the family's 2925-position model. The record is from RNAcentral. RNAcentral also lists the same sequence under 1 other name. Lineage: Eukaryota; Metazoa; Mollusca; Bivalvia; Adapedonta; Pharidae.